This 1134-nucleotide ribosomal RNA is filed under the name Triticum aestivum (bread wheat). RNAcentral's name for it is "partial small subunit ribosomal RNA". Lineage: Eukaryota; Viridiplantae; Streptophyta; Magnoliopsida; Poales; Poaceae. The record is from RNAcentral.
AUGGCGUACUCUUGUUUGCCCUUGUAUGCGGCUUCCUUUCUUGUAGUGCUUCUCGUUUUGCCUCUCAUGGCAGUGGCAUCUGCCGCCGCGCCCGCUGCCGAGACGUCCUACGAGACCAAGUCCAUGGACCCCGGCCUCGCCCUCAUGACGCUGCCGCAGCCCGUGUCCGGCCCGGAGAGCCUCGCCUUCGACCGCCGCGGCGGUGGGCCUCACGCCGGCGUCUCCGACGGCCGCGUCUUCAAGUGGCGCGGCCGCCGCCUCGGCUGGACCGAGUUCGCGUACAACUUCAGACACAAGCAAGCAUCGAUCCUGUGCAUCCAUUGUACAUACAUGCACGUACGUAGUGGUCAUAACCUUUGCACACCUGUGUGCGUUGGUGUCUUGUGCAGGAGCGUGGGGAUGUGCGCGCCGAAGAAGAAGCUGGUGGUGCCGGAGAGUGUGUGCGGCCGACCGCUGGGGCUGCAGUUCCACCACGAGUCCGGCGACCUGUACGUCGCCGACGCCUACCUGGGGCUGUUGAGGGUGCCGGCGCGCGGUGGGCUGGUGCAGGUGGUGGCGACGGAAGCCGGCGGCGUGCCCUUCAACUUCCUCAACGGCCUGGACGUCGACCAGAAGAGCGGCGACGUCUACUUCACGGACAGCAGCAGCACAUACCGAAGAAGCGAGUACCUACUGGUGGUGGCUCUGGGCGACGAGACCGGGCGGCUGCUCCGGUACGACCCGCGGACGCGCCGCGUCGCCGUGCUCCACGCCGGCCUGUCCUACCCGAACGGCGUGGCCGUGAGCGCGGACGGGUCGCACGUCGUGGUGUCGCACACGGCGCUGUCCGAGCUACGCCGGUACUGGGUGCGCGGGCCCAAGGCCGGCAGGAACGAGACGUUCGCGGAGCUGCCGGGGUUCCCGGACAACGUGCGCUCGGACGGGCGGGGCGGGUACUGGGUGGCGCUGACUCACGGUGGCGACGACGGCGUCGCCGCGCCGACGGUGGCCGUGAGGGUGGGCCGUGACCGCGCCGUGGAGGAGGCGCUGGGCGGGUUCAGCUUCGAGACGGUGAGCGAGGUGGGCGAGCGGAACGGCACGCUCUGGGUCGGCUCCGUCGACACGCCCUACGCCGGCGAGCUCAAAAGACACUAG